AAACAAACAAACAAACACCAAACACAACAAGAAACCAAAAACCCUCAGUUUCGGAAUUACUUCACCAAGUAAACAAUAAAUAAAAACAAAACAGUCAAUCUACUCCAUGUCUCAAUACCAAUAUAGGUGGAAGUUAAAGAACCAAAAAGCUUACCAAAAACAAUCUACUCCAUGACUCAAUACCAAUAUAGGUGGAAGUUAAAGAACCAAAAAGCUUACCAAAAUGUAACCAUGUAUUUUGAUAUGAACUUCCACACUAUGUCAAAGAAAAAUGUGGCAGUUAUCAACAUAAUAUCAGCUGUAACCUUAAUGAUGAAACAAGUAC
RNAcentral lists this long non-coding RNA (325 nucleotides) under Nicotiana benthamiana. RNAcentral's name for it is "long non-coding RNA (NBEN_LNC009943)". Lineage: Eukaryota; Viridiplantae; Streptophyta; Magnoliopsida; Solanales; Solanaceae. The record is from RNAcentral.